CCCUGGGGGACUGUGUUGCCCCCGUUGAGAAACACUACGCUAAUCCAAGAGUCGCCUCUGCUUGCAAGGUGUUUCGAGCUGGACGUUCCCAUCGAGAAGCAAUCAUGGUGCAGUCAAGAGAGCAUGACUUCUGCCUGAGACCGGAAAUCAUCCUGCUUCACUUCAAAACAGAACUUGGGAACGGCCGUGGCCUACCAGCAAGCUCUCUGGAUCAGAAUGGGACUAGCUGGCUUAGGCCGGUGACUUUGCACCAGGAAUCGCAGUGAAUUCCAUGGGAUGGACACACCGCUAUAUGGACGCCUCGCACGUCUGAUGUCAUGCCUCUGCAAUCCUCCGCCGGAACGCUACAGCUGUUGUUCCCACGCAGGCUAACCCCCCAUGUUAAUAAAACCCUAAUUGAAAGA
Molecule: long non-coding RNA, 404 nt
Organism: Engraulis encrasicolus (European anchovy)
Lineage: Eukaryota; Metazoa; Chordata; Actinopteri; Clupeiformes; Engraulidae
Exons: 3
Source: RefSeq, a predicted model, not a curated record